RNA transcript from Pyrus x bretschneideri (Chinese white pear), 2000 nucleotides. It is a transcript of the gene named DNA repair protein recA homolog 1, chloroplastic-like, with no coding region annotated. Lineage: Eukaryota; Viridiplantae; Streptophyta; Magnoliopsida; Rosales; Rosaceae. The record is from RefSeq and is a predicted model, not a curated record. The transcript is spliced from 14 exons.
UCGGGUUGUCAGAGGUUUUAGACUUGGUAAUGGUUUUAGCAUUCACAGGCAGCAGCGGAAGAAGCAUGAGAUACUCGCUCACUUUCUCAAACCCACACUCGCACUCGCACUCGCACUGCUUACCUUCUCCUCUGCUAUUCCAGUCCUCUCUCCCGCAGCGCUUCAACCUACACUCCAUGGCGGUGAAGUCAAUCAAAAGGGUUCGUUGUGAGCUCCAAGCCAAAGUCAAUGGCGCUCUUUCCGCAGACUCCGACCCUCGUUUCGUCGACCGGCAAAAAGCACUGGAAGCAGCCAUGAAUGAUAUAAAUAGCUCAUUUGGGAAGGGAAGUGUUACAAGAUUAGGAAGUGCUGGUGGAGCCUUGGUUGAAACUUUUCCCAGUGGCUGCUUGACAUUAGACCUUGCCUUAGGUGGUGGCCUUCCAAAAGGGAGAAUUGUGGAGAUAUUUGGACCAGAAAGCAGUGGAAAGACCACUCUAGCACUCCAUGCAAUUGCAGAGGUGCAGAAACUUGGGGGAAAUGCUAUGCUUGUUGAUGCAGAACAUGCUUUUGAUCCAGCAUAUUCAAAAGCACUGGGUGUAGAUGUAGAAAAUCUGAUUGUCUGUCAGCCUGAUCAUGGAGAAAUGGCACUUGAGAUUGCAGAUCGUAUGUGCAGAUCUGGUGCCAUCGAUCUUAUCUGUGUUGAUUCUGUCUCAGCUCUCACUCCACGAGCAGAGAUUGAAGGUGAGAUAGGGAUGCAGCAAAUGGGUUUGCAAGCACGUCUUAUGAGCCAAGCUUUGCGCAAAAUGUCAGGAAAUGCGUCCAAAGCUGGAUGUACUCUAAUAUUUUUGAAUCAAAUAAGAUAUAAGAUCGGUGUAUAUUAUGGGAAUCCAGAAGUGACAUCUGGAGGAAUUGCAUUAAAAUUCUUUGCCUCAGUUCGGCUUGAAAUACGUUCUACAGGGAAGAUAAAGUCUGUAAAGGGAGAUGAAGAAAUUGGGGUUCGGGUUCGUGUAAGAGUGCAAAAGAGUAAGGUUUCAAGACCAUACAAACAAGCUGAAUUUGAAAUUGUAUUUGGAGAGGGAGUUAGUAAAUUGGGUUGCAUCUUGGAUUGCGCUGAAGCUAUGGAUGUAGUAGUGAGGAAGAGUUCUUGGUAUAGUUAUGGGGACCACAGGUUAGGACAAGGAAGAGACAAAGCAUUGCAGUACUUAAGAGAGAACCCUCUUCUUCUUGAUGAAAUAGAGAAGUAUGUGCAAGGAAUAAAAUGAAAAUGUGGUUAUCAUAUGCCGUCAAUACUGUGAAUUAUGAAUUUAUGAACAUACCAUGAUGGUCGAGUUCAACAUUUUAAUGGAUGUAACAAGACAAGAGAUAGUUCGCUCCAUGAUGAUAGAUGGAACCGGACAAGUAGGCUCAUUUCAGACAAGUAACUUGCCAAUUCCCCAACACGAUGAAGAUGAUUUCGAAGAUAUCCAAUGAGGAGAAAAGGGAUUCGUUGUCACUGUUUUCUGUUCUGGAUCAAGGUAAAAGAAGUUUCAGAUAUUGCAAAGGAACAGCACCAGUUUGCUCCACUCGCUCCGCAUCAAAUGCAAGACCGGGGAUUUUGACAAGUUGACAUCAGUUUCUGCCUGACCCUGAUUCAGUUCCAGACCAAAAAUGUUGGCAGACAUAAAGGAAGUAUACUCCUUUUGUAAUUUUGUGAGAACAUAAAUUUAUGGGGUAGGAGAUGUGGGUCGGGCGAUGGGGGUCGUCUUUCAAACUAACAGGCUUAUUUGCCAAUUUGAGUUGUUAUUUCGUUGGUUUGAUAUCAUUCAUCAAGUAUUUGCUUUCAUGUUCACAUAAAGCAUGCGUUUGAUAGAUGACAUGACAGAUGUAGACUCCACAUAUUUUCUUACAUAGUUGUCAAAUUUGUCACGUCAUUAUUUAACGGUAAAUUGACAGAAAAUCUAAUGUAGGUCUGAAAUUUCAAUGGAUUUGUAAGUUGAUGUAUGACAUUACAAUAUUUAAAAGAUAAGGUUUGAGUUGUUGUA